RNAcentral lists this ribosomal RNA (794 nucleotides) under uncultured Mycobacterium sp. RNAcentral's name for it is "bacterial SSU rRNA". It matches the Rfam family "Bacterial small subunit ribosomal RNA", at positions 554 to 1346 of the family's 1533-position model. The record is from RNAcentral. Lineage: Bacteria; Bacillati; Actinomycetota; Actinomycetes; Mycobacteriales; Mycobacteriaceae.
CUGGGCGUAAAGAGCUCGUAGGUGGUUUGUCGCGUUGUUCGUGAAAUCUCACGGCUUAACUGUGAGCGUGCGGGCGAUACGGGCAGACUAGAGUACUGCAGGGGAGACUGGAAUUCCUGGUGUAGCGGUGGAAUGCGCAGAUAUCAGGAGGAACACCGGUGGCGAAGGCGGGUCUCUGGGCAGUAACUGACGCUGAGGAGCGAAAGCGUGGGGAGCGAACAGGAGUAGAUACCCUGGUAGUCCACGCCGUAAACGGUGGGUACUAGGUGUGGGUUUCCUUCCUUGGGAUCCGUGCCGUAGCUAACGCAUUAAGUACCCCGCCUGGGGAGUACGGCCGCAAGGCUAAAACUCAAAGGAAUUGACGGGGGCCCGCACAAGCGGCGGAGCAUGUGGAUUAAUUCGAUGCAACGCGAAGAACCUUACCUGGGUUUGACAUGCACAGGACGCGUCUAGAGAUAGGCGUUCCCUUGUGGCCUGUGUGCAGGUGGUGCAUGGCUGUCGUCAGCUCGUGUCGUGAGAUGUUGGGUUAAGUCCCGCAACGAGCGCAACCCUUGUCUCAUGUUGCCAGCGGGUAAUGCCGGGGACUCGUGAGAGACUGCCGGGGUCAACUCGGAGGAAGGUGGGGAUGACGUCAAGUCAUCAUGCCCCUUAUGUCCAGGGCUUCACACAUGCUACAAUGGCCGGUACAAAGGGCUGCGAUGCCGUAAGGUUAAGCGAAUCCUUUUAAAGCCGGUCUCAGUUCGGAUUGGGGUCUGCAACUCGACCCCAUGAAGUCGGAGUCGCUAGUAAUCGCA